AUUAAGGUGGCAGAACAAGUGCAUUAGGUUUAAGCCCUAAAUAUGAAGAUUAAUGUCUUCUCUUAAUA
Molecule: transfer RNA, 68 nt
Filed under: Neritina violacea
Lineage: Eukaryota; Metazoa; Mollusca; Gastropoda; Cycloneritida; Neritidae
Also listed under: 1 other name
Description: tRNA-Leu
Rfam family: tRNA
About the family: Transfer RNA (tRNA) molecules are approximately 80 nucleotides in length. Their secondary structure includes four short double-helical elements and three loops (D, anti-codon, and T loops).
Source: RNAcentral